AUGCCCAGCCACAAAUUCGCCUGCCCCGAGGGUGUUCUUGACGCCCGAAUCAGCGAUGUUCGCCAUGUGGUCACCAUUGAGUCGAUUCGCCAGUUGUUUCGUCGCUCCGGUGAUGGAUAUGUGGUCUGCGCGUACGAGCGGGUGGUGGACGGGCUGUACGGCGUGGAGGCCUACGUCGAGUUCCGGUCCCGAUGGAGGGCGGCCCGAGCUCGAGAUGCCCUGGAUGGCCAUGCUAUCUACGAUGGCUGUUGCAUCCUUGCCAUCGACCUCGUCCCGCCGGUCUACACCACCACCACCAUGCCUGAUGACGACGGGAUGACACCCUCGUACUUCUACGACGACACUCCCUACGCGGAGUGGGCUGCAGCGUUGGCCGCGGUCGAGCGCCAUGAUGAGGCGCCCGCUACAUCCACCGACGACCUCCAAGUCGAGGCGUCCAUGAGCACCGUCGGCGCGACUCCGUCCGAGCUCGCCGCGCCUACGGCACCAACUCUGUCUACGACCGCUGACAACGCCGUCGUGGAGCUCAGUGAGAGCGACAAGGGGCUCAAAGUGGACGACACCAGCAACGCCGCUUCGACGCCCACCACCUGUUCGACGGGGUGUCCAAGCUGCGCCACGGCCGAGGAGUCGGCGCCCACCUCGUCUGCAGCAUUACCUUCAUCCAUGACCGUCAGCAACAUCCCUUCUGAGCUUGCUGCACCUGUAUGUGGCCUCUAUCAUAAUACUGACAGAGACGACCUAGUAGCGUCGUGCCUAGUUCCCUGGAGUGCACCUACAUCCUUCACAUUGCCUCAUGAAGCCUCUCCAAUGCCUCUGCGUUGGCUGUUCACUGUCAUUGAUCUGGAUAACUUUGCAAUCACCAAGUGUUCAACUGAUUGCCUCGACUACAACACCAGCAAUGACGUAGCUUCAGUUAUUGAGCAAAAGAUACAGUGUGCCUUUAAGAUCAACCAUUUGAAAAUUGCUUGGAGACUAGACUGGGAUGGAUAUGAACAUGAUUCUACAUAUGGUUCUGAGAAUUUUCUCAUAGAGUAUUUUGCUAGUAUAAUGCUACUAGAAGUACUCCCUCGACCUAAUAUUCACUUGACACUGAAGAUACUUGAUGCUGCACCUAUGAACACCAGUUUGAUUUUCUUGCUGGAAGAUAUUGAGUACAGACCUGUACCAUUGUCACGCUCUAUUCCUCAUGGUCACUGUGCUGGGGUGAUACAUGACCUUGAGGUUCUGAAUCCUUGGCCACAACCACUGUACCUGAGUAUUCUGGCGCUCAGUUCCUUCACAGGGGUCCCCUUUUAUGCUUCCAAACAAAUUCAGUGGGAAAUUGCUGGUGAUAUUUUCAAGAAAUUGUUGUUUCCCGGCAUGGGUGAGGAGAUCUGCUAUUGUGUUGGUGAUGUUACUGUUCGCCACUACUUCGACGGUGCAUUGUACCUUGAUCAAGUCUGUGCCGACCAAGACUACCACGACCAAGACUACCGCCUCCAUGUCAUUGUCGACCAAGUUCCUGUUGGUCAUGACGACGACUACAUUGUGACAAAAUUGAAUCAGUGGCCUACAAUUGGUCAACAAGGUGCUUUGUGUCUGAUUCUGGUUGCUGAUGUGCUCAUGUUACAAGACCUACAACUGGCUUGGGAUCCAGAUGAGAAGGUCCUUGAUUGGGUUCAGUUUGCAAUGCAAGUUCCUUGGGAUCCCAGUGGUUUGACAUGGAAUUGGCUUGAGGGCAAGCCGAAACUUAUGGAGAGGGGAUUGUCAGCGACCUUGCUAUGGGCCGGCCCUAUUCACCUCGACCUGGCCCAGAAGAUGGAUGGCCUCCAACUACAAAAGGCACACGGUUGCCCACGGAAGAGGCGGCUUGGACGGAAGGCUUCGGCCUGGCUGGCGAUCUCCCUCUCUGUAGCGUGUUCUUCCUCCUCUGUCUCCUCCCUUCCUCUGCUCCCUCCUGUAAUUCUCGAUUUGUAG
This 1959-nucleotide ribosomal RNA is filed under the name Triticum aestivum (bread wheat). RNAcentral describes it as "partial small subunit ribosomal RNA". The record is from RNAcentral. Lineage: Eukaryota; Viridiplantae; Streptophyta; Magnoliopsida; Poales; Poaceae.